GCUGCUUUGGCAACCUAUAUAUUAAAAUUUGAAUGAUAUGGAGAAGAUUUGCAUAGCCCUUUACGAGGAUGACACACAAAUUCAUAAAGCAUUUCUUUUUUUU
Callithrix jacchus (white-tufted-ear marmoset) is the source of this 103-nucleotide small nuclear RNA. The record is from Ensembl. Lineage: Eukaryota; Metazoa; Chordata; Mammalia; Primates; Cebidae.